Parus major (Great Tit) is the source of this 1976-nucleotide long non-coding RNA. The record is from Ensembl. Lineage: Eukaryota; Metazoa; Chordata; Aves; Passeriformes; Paridae.
GGCAACUUCCCCCCACCCCAAGAUGGCAGAUUUGCUGAUCUAAUCAACUACUUCCUGAAUUUAAACAACACACAAAACCUACGUAGAGGGAUCUCUGAGAAAAUUUAAUAUUUACUGUUAUUAUUAUUAAAAAUUCAAGAUUCUUCUCCAGUCCUUGCUGAGCGAGCUUCAUGCCCAGACAACUUCUGAGACUGCAAAUAGGGAUGACUUCCUCUCCUGCAAUGGAAAUGGUCAGAAAUACCUUGUGUUCAAGCUGUAUGUACCCACUUUGAAAGGCUAAAGAUUUAAUGGCAUAUAUGUUGAGAAAAGGUGACUGGAAGAACAAAAAUGAAAGAUCAGCAAUCUUAUUCCCUGUUCACUUUUCACCACUCUCAGCUGAAGAAAGUUAUUAUCACCCAGGAGUGCUUAGGAGUGAUGUAGGAGCUGAAAAUGUUCACACUUACCCAACGAAUACACUGGCUUUUGCUUAGGACAAAACAGAGUGGGAAGCUAAUUCUUCAGCAGGACUGGGACUAUCACUGAUGACAAUUUCAUUCUUAGUUCUGGCAUGAUUAUCUUGCACGUUGUGAAAAUGGAAUUGGUUGACGUGGGUUGAAGAAGCAGUUUGUGAUAAUACUAAACAUCCUGCAAAGCCAAAGUAUUGAAUUAAUUCAUCAAAUCUUCAUCAGUUCUGCUGGAACACUUGUGGAAAAUAGUAAUAUUGGAUGUCAGGUAAAAUGUAGCUAAAUCUCUCGGUGUUUCAGAGCUCUGAAGUUCCAGAGAUUAAUGAACUCAACUCACUUUUGGAGGGUGAUAUUUUAAAGCCCAGCUGAAAUUUCCCUGACGAACAAAGAAGAAGGUUGGUUCCACACCAAGUCCCUGGUGAUAAUUCAUCUGAAACUACUGGUGCUGACUCUUCUGCCUGAAGAAGAGCCGUAUCUCUCCCAGAGGCCAGAUCUAGCUGGAAGUAGCGCGGGGCGUUGGCACUUGGCAGCCGCGCUGGUGGCGAGGUGUCGGAACAGCACGGCGCCUGCUGAUCGCGGCCAUCUGCUCCCUACAUCCAUGUGCCACUGAAGGUCGGUGUGGGGGACAGCCCAGCUUCCCAGCCCUAUGCUUCUGAGUGACAGAACUAGACUAACCUUUUCUGCGUCCCCAGAGCAUGAGCGGGUUUAUGCCGUGAAAUUGGAAGGAAUUUCUGUUCAAUUCCUCUUCUCUGGCUGUGGGGAUGUCUUGGUCUGUGCUGGAAUGUUUACAUUAAACAAGAAAAACAGUAUUUUGAGAAUGCAUUGAGGAUUGAAAUCCUCUGUACUGAUAAAUUCAUCUUUAGAACUUUGUUAUGAGAAAUGAGAAGUUCCUAAUAUAAGCAGCAUAUCAUAUGGCCUUUUUUCUUCUGAGCAGGGUUAUUUUGAUUUCUUUUACUAUUAGUUUUGUUUUCCAUUCAGCCUCCACAUGUAUCUUUAUGAUUAACAGUGCUGAGUGCUGUGAUGAAGAAUGAUUUUUAAAUGCCUAUACCUUGAAGAACAAAAUCAUGUCUUUUUCAAUGAAGGACUUUUGAAAGAGAAGAAAUGAAAGAAAACACAGCUUAGACUUUGCAAGACUUACAGAGCAAUGAUAGCCCCAUGGCAUAUUGAAUGGUCAUCAGAAUUGUUCCCACAACAUUAGCACUGGAUUAAAAUUAAUUUCUGAGAGAUUCAUCAAUUUAACAAGUCAGAUCAAUUUAGUAGAACAACUGUUUUAUGGCUUCCAGUAUCCUUAUAGGAACUUUCUACUUUAACUUAUUGCUGCAUCAUUUGAUAAAUGGAAAGGAUUCAUUCUUCGAUAAGAUCUUUUCCAUUAUCAAAAAUAUUCAUUAACAGUAAUUUUCAUAGCAAGUGAAUUCCAAAAACUCAAUUUCUGAGAAAUUAAUUUUAAAAUUCGUGUGACUAUUUGCUGCUGAUACUCUUGGUGGCAUCAGUCCCGGAGGAGAUCAGGAAAAUAAAAUAUAGCAUUGACUUACA